Molecule: ribosomal RNA, 433 nt
Filed under: uncultured bacterium
Lineage: Bacteria
Description: partial 16S ribosomal RNA
Rfam family: Bacterial small subunit ribosomal RNA
Source: RNAcentral
AACGAACGCUGGCGGCAUGCCUAACACAUGCAAGUCGAACGAGACCUUCGGGUCUAGUGGCGCACGGGUGCGUAACGCGUGGGAACCUGCCCUUAGGUUCGGAAUAACUCCCCGAAAGGGGUGCUAAUACCGGAUAAUGUCUUCGGACCAAAGAUUUAUCGCCUUUGGAUGGGCCCGCGUUGGAUUAGCUAGUUGGUAGGGUAAAAGCCUACCAAGGCGACGAUCCAUAGCUGGUCUGAGAGGAUGAUCAGCCACACUGGGACUGAGGCCCGGCCCAGACUCCUACGGGAGGCAGCAGUGGGGAAUAUUGGACAAUGGGCGAAAGCCUGAUCCAGCAAUGCCGCGUGAGUGAUGAAGGCCUUAGGGUUGUAAAGCUCUUUUACCCGGGAUGAUAAUGACAGUACCGGGAGAAUAAGCUCCGGCUAACUCCGUG